RNAcentral lists this ribosomal RNA (360 nucleotides) under uncultured bacterium. Its description in RNAcentral is "bacterial SSU rRNA". It matches the Rfam family "Archaeal small subunit ribosomal RNA", at positions 725 to 1085 of the family's 1478-position model. The record is from RNAcentral.
AGUGAAUAGAUACCCGGGUAGUCCCAGCCGUAAACGAUGCUCGCUAGGUGUCAGGCAUGGCGCGACCGUGUCUGGUGCCGCAGGGAAGCCGUGAAGCGAGCCACCUGGGAAGUACGGCCGCAAGGCUGAAACUUAAAGGAAUUGGCGGGGGAGCACAACAACGGGUGGAGCCUGCGGUUUAAUUGGACUCAACGCCGGACAACUCACCGGGGGCGACAGCAAUAUGUAGGCCAAGCUGAAGACUUUGCCUGAAUCGCUGAGAGGAGGUGCAUGGCCGUCGCCAGUUCGUACUGUGAAGCAUCCUGUUAAGUCAGGCAACGAGCGAGACCCGUGCCCACUGUUACCAGCAUGUCCUGGUAC